Molecule: ribosomal RNA, 448 nt
Filed under: uncultured bacterium
Lineage: Bacteria
Description: partial 16S ribosomal RNA
Rfam family: Bacterial small subunit ribosomal RNA
Source: RNAcentral
CCUACGGGAGGCAGCAGUGGGGAAUCUUGCGCAAUGGGCGGAAGCCUGACGCAGCGACGCCGCGUGCGGGACGAAGGCCUUCGGGUCGUAAACCGCUUUCAGCAGGGACGAGGCCCUCACGGUGACGGUACCUGCAGAAGAAGCCCCGGCUAACUACGUGCCAGCCGCCGCGGUAAUACGUAGGGGGCGAGCGUUAUCCGGAUUCUAUGGGGGUAAAGCGCGGGUCGGCGGGGUGUUAGGUCGGGGGUCAAAUACCGGGGCUCAACCCCCGGACGGCCCCGGAAACGGCAGGGCUUGAGUACGGGAGGGGAAGGCGGAAUUCCUAGUGUAGCGGUGGAAUGCGUAGAUAUUGGGAAGAACACCGGUGGCGAAGGCGGCCUUCUGGGCUACGACUGACGUUGAGGCGCGAAAGCGAGGGGAGCGAACAGGAUUAGAUACCCGGGUAGUC